This 253-nucleotide ribosomal RNA is filed under the name uncultured bacterium. RNAcentral describes it as "partial 16S ribosomal RNA". It matches the Rfam family "Bacterial small subunit ribosomal RNA", at positions 524 to 776 of the family's 1533-position model. The record is from RNAcentral.
UACGAAGGGGGCUAGCGUUGCUCGGAAUCACUGGGCGUAAAGGGUGUGUAGGCGGUUCUUUAAGUUUGGUGUGAAAUCUCCCGGCUCAACUGGGAGGGUGCGCCGAAUACUGAGGGACUAGAGUACGGGAGAGGAAAGUGGAAUUCCUGGUGUAGCGGUGAAAUGCGUAGAUAUCAGGAGGAACACCGGUGGUGUAAACGGCUUUCUGGACCAUAACUGACGCUGAGGCACGAAAGCGUGGGUAGCAAACAGG